This 1096-nucleotide ribosomal RNA is filed under the name Ralstonia solanacearum. Its description in RNAcentral is "bacterial SSU rRNA". It matches the Rfam family "Bacterial small subunit ribosomal RNA", at positions 82 to 1179 of the family's 1533-position model. The record is from RNAcentral. Lineage: Bacteria; Pseudomonadati; Pseudomonadota; Betaproteobacteria; Burkholderiales; Burkholderiaceae.
UACCUGCCGGCGAGUGGCGAACGGGUGAGUAAUACAUCGGAACGUGCCCUGUAGUGGGGGAUAACUAGUCGAAAGACUAGCUAAUACCGCAUACGCCCUGAGGGUGAAAGUGGGGGACCGCAAGGCCUCAUGCUAUAGGAGCGGCCGAUGUCUGAUUAGCUAGUUGGUGGGGUAAAGGCCCACCAAGGCGACGAUCAGUAGCUGGUCUGAGAGGACGAUCAGCCACACUGGGACUGAGACACGGCCCAGACUCCUACGGGAGGCAGCAGUGGGGAAUUUUGGACAAUGGGGGCAACUCUGAUCCAGCAAUGCCGCGUGUGUGAAGAAGGCCUUCGGGUUGUAAAGCACUUUUGUCCGGAAAGAAAUCGCACUGGUUAAUAACUGGUGUGGAUGACGGUACCGGAAGAAUAAGGACCGGCUAACUACGUGCCAGCAGCCGCGGUAAUACGUAGGGUCCAAGCGUUAAUCGGAAUUACGGGGCGUAAAGCGUGCGCAGGCGGUUGUGCAAGACCGAUGUGAAAUCCCCGGGCUUAACCUGGGAAUUGCAUUGGUGACUGCACGGCUAGAGUGUGUCAGAGGGAGGUAGAAGUCCACGUGUAGCAGUGAAAUGCGUAGAGAUGUGGAGGAAUACCGAUGGCGAAGGCAGCCUCCUGGGAUAACACUGACGCUCAUGCACGAAAGCGUGGGGAGCAAACAGGAUUAGAUACCCUGGUAGUCCACGCCCUAAACGAUGUCAACUAGUUGUUGGGGAUUCAUUUCCUUAGUAACGUAGCUAACGCGUGAAGUUGACCGCCUGGGGAGUACGGUCGCAAGAUUAAAACUCAAAGGAAUUGACCGGGACCCGCACAAGCGGGGGAUGAUGUGGAUUAAUUCGAUGCAACGCGAAAAACCUUACCUACCCUUGACAUGCCACUAACGAAGCAGAGAUGCAUUAGGUGCUCGAAAGAGAAAGGGGACACAGGUGCUGCAUGGCUGUCGUCAGCUCGUGUCGUGAGAUGUUGGGUUAAGUCCCGCAACGAGCGCAACCCUUGUCUCUAGUUGCUACGAAAGGGCACUCUAGAGAGACUGCCGGUGACAAACCGGAGGAAGGUGGGGA